This 475-nucleotide RNase P RNA is filed under the name Chitinilyticum piscinae. Its description in RNAcentral is "Bacterial RNase P class A". It matches the Rfam family "Bacterial RNase P class A". From Rfam's summary of the family: Ribonuclease P (RNase P) is a ubiquitous endoribonuclease, found in archaea, bacteria and eukarya as well as chloroplasts and mitochondria. Its best characterised activity is the generation of mature 5'-ends of tRNAs by cleaving the 5'-leader elements of precursor-tRNAs. Lineage: Bacteria; Pseudomonadati; Pseudomonadota; Betaproteobacteria; Neisseriales; Chitinibacteraceae. The record is from Rfam by way of RNAcentral.
AAAGCAGGCCAGACUGUCGCUGCCCCGGCAACGGGGGGGAGGAAAGUCCGGGCUCCACAGGGCAGGAUGCCGGCUAACGGCCGGGCGUCGCGAGGCGACGGAAAGUGCAACAGAGAGCUGAACCGCCGAUGACCCGGAUUUCGCGGUGCGCAAGCACCGCAAAGUCCCAAACAAGCAGGAUGCUGCUUGCGGGCUGGCAAUCCGGCAACGGAUUGCCAGGGGAUCAGGCAAGGGUGAAAAGGUGGGCUGCGACAGCAGCCGUCCGCAAGGACCGGUAAGGGCGCACCGCCGGGGUGGCAACAUUCCCGGGCAGGGUAAACCCCAUCCGGAGCAAGACCAAGCAGCAGACGUUGAGGCGGCCCGCCGAGUCUGCGGGUAGGUUGCUGGAGCCAGUCCGCAAGGGCUGGCCUAGAGGAAUGACAGUCACCUGCCGCAAGGCAGGGUACAGAACCCGGCUUACCGGCCUGCUUUGCAA